CAACUUUCAUCCCAUAGGCUUCAGGUAACCUACAAGUGGGCAUGUGAUCUAGGCUUCAACCACCACAGCUCAUAUCACUUGAAUUCUCUUUGCAAGCAUUUUUUGGGAAAAUAACCCAAGGACUAGCAUGAAUGGGUGAUGACCCAAAUCCUUUGAACUCUAAGGCAUAUAGACACAAUUCUGGGGUUUUCACUUGAACUUUUAGGAAAGCAGCUAUCCUCUUUGGAGGGGAGGAGGAUUAGAACCGAGAAGCAAUUCUGAGUCCUGCAAUCACCUUGUCCCUGUAUAAGGAGAGAGGCUAGCAGAGAACGAAACCAACACAGCAGAAAUCAGAGCAAUGCGAAGGACAGAAACCGAGUCCUGGUGACAUUAUCAGAGCCACUGAAUCCAGCUGCCUCUUGGCUAGACAACCCUAGAUCUUCAACAAUCUCCACAAACCCCCUUUCUAGUCAGUCCAUGUUGAUGUUCACUGCCGUCACUGUGGGAGGAUGUUCAAAACAUGACAGAAUGUGACACGAGGUGAUACGUGAAAUUGGCUCUGUGAAUUAUCAAGGGUGAGUUGCGGUUCUAUUUGUUAGGGUAAAGUAUACGCCUCAGAAAGUGUUCAAUGAGCUGGAAACGCAAAGCAAAGAUCAGCCAUGAGUACCAUCUUUCUCUAAUCCCAGGUUCUCUAGAAAGAUGAGCCUAAGGCAAGGAUUAAGGUAUGGAUGCUUUCUUUGAGAAGUGUGAACCUAUCAGGAGGUGGGGGGAAGAAAAAUGGAAGAAGACACAGAAAGAUAUAAAGCAGUGCUAUGUGAUUCAUUACUGCACUUGCUAGUCCUUUAAUGAGUCACAGAGAGCUGUUGCGGGUCAUUCAGGUUCACUUGCUGAGGCUAUGAGACUUUUCUAGAAGGGCUACAAAGAACAACUACACAUCAUCAAAGUCUAUGGAAGGAAGAAAGAAAGUGGAUUUAUCUGCCCAGCUUGCUCCCAUCUCCCAUUUCCUGUUAGUUAAGGCUGACUCCAUGGAGAGCUAAUUCCCCUGCACUGCCACACUGUUUCAUCCAAAUCCCUGGAGGCCACUGGGGAAAUCAAAUUCUACACCUGCAGGAUGGAAUUCCAUCCAGGUCUGCAAGUCAAAGGAGUGACUCAGUGCAGUUGAGCUCUGGGUGUGAGGUACAUGGCUCAUGAAGUCCUG
This 1177-nucleotide long non-coding RNA is filed under the name Lynx canadensis (Canada lynx). RNAcentral's name for it is "lncRNA (ENSLCNG00005018136.1)". Lineage: Eukaryota; Metazoa; Chordata; Mammalia; Carnivora; Felidae. The record is from RNAcentral.